This 459-nucleotide ribosomal RNA is filed under the name uncultured bacterium. Its description in RNAcentral is "partial 16S ribosomal RNA". It matches the Rfam family "Bacterial small subunit ribosomal RNA", at positions 338 to 795 of the family's 1533-position model. The record is from RNAcentral.
CCUACGGGAUGCUGCAGUGAGGAAUAUUGGUCAAUGGACGCAAGUCUGAACCAGCCAAGCCGCGUGCAGGAAGACGGCUCUAUGAGUUGUAAACUGCUUUUGUAGGGGGGUAAACGCCGAUACGUGUAUCUUUCUGAGCGUAUCCUACGAAUAAGGAUCGGCUAACUCCGUGCCAGCAGCCGCGGUAAUACGGAGGAUUCAAGCGUUAUCCGGAUUUAUUGGGUUUAAAGGGUGCGUAGGCGGAGGAUAAAGUCGAGGUGAAAAUCCCGGGGCCAAACUCGGAACUGCCGCUGAUACUGUUUGGCUAGAGAGUAGUUGAGGUAGGCGGAAUGUAUGGUGUAGCGGUGAAAUGCUUAGAGAUCAUACAGAACACCGAUUGCGAAGGCAGCUUACCAAGCUACGUCUGACGUUGAGGCACGAAAGCGUGGGGAGCAAACAGGAUUAGAUACCCCGGUAGUC